GAUGAACGCUGGCGGCGUGCCUAAUACAUGCAAGUCGAGCGAACAGACGAGGAGCUUGCUCCUCUGACGUUAGCGGCGGACGGGUGAGUAACACGUGGAUAACCUACCUAUAAGACUGGGAUAACUUCGGGAAACCGGAGCUAAUACCGGAUAAUAUAUUGAACCGCAUGGUUCAAUAGUGAAAGACGGUUUUGCUGUCACUUAUAGAUGGAUCCGCGCCGCAUUAGCUAGUUGGUAAGGUAACGGCUUACCAAGGCAACGAUGGGUAGCCGAACUGAGAGGGUCGCAGCCACCCCGGGAACGGAACCCCGGCCAGGCCUCCGAGGGGGGGCACAAGAAGGGAUUCUCCCGCAAGGGGCGAACGUUCGACGGGACACCGCCGAGGGGUGGAUAAGGUUUUUGGUACCUAAAACCUUUUUUAUGGGGAAAAAACAAAUGUGUAAGUACCUAUGCACGUCUUCACGGUCCCUAAUAAGAAACCCACGCCUACCUCCGUC
RNAcentral lists this ribosomal RNA (497 nucleotides) under uncultured bacterium. RNAcentral's name for it is "partial 16S ribosomal RNA". It matches the Rfam family "Bacterial small subunit ribosomal RNA", at positions 28 to 507 of the family's 1533-position model. The record is from RNAcentral.